Homo sapiens (human) is the source of this 3846-nucleotide long non-coding RNA. Lineage: Eukaryota; Metazoa; Chordata; Mammalia; Primates; Hominidae. The record is from Ensembl.
CCAAGUUUAACGUGUGUGCUCCACUCCUCCAACCUGGCCAAAGGGCAGUCAUCAUCACUGGCCACUACUGACCACAGCCUUUAGAAACUCCCCUUGAACGUGCUGGGCUGACCUUCCUCUGAUCACAGGCAAGGCAAAGGAAAACGACAGGCCCUUGCCUUCCCGGUCCUCAAGGGUCAGCUGUAAGAUGAUGUCAUAAAGCCGGAUCAGGUCCUGGGGCCGGGGGGAAGCACUUGCUGUCAUCCUCUGGCUGCUGCUGCAGCAGAGCCCUCUGCAGACCUUUGGCCAUGCUCUCAUUACACUUGAUUGCCAUUGACAGCUUGAUGUAAGUCAGGUGAACAAAUAGAAGCUGAGGGUGAAGGACCUACAGCUGUCACCUUUAUCUCUUCUCAACACUGCCAACUGUCCCCUUGGAUCUCCCAGACAGACAACAAGGGACAUCUCUGGUUUCUCGGUGCCCCCUAGAAACCUCGGGUCAUUUCAAGGCAUUAUGCAAAUGAGAAGCUUUCCUUCUCUUCACCUCAUCUCCUGAUCUGCACAAAAGUGACUGUAGGACCCAGUGUUGUAGAUGAGCAUGAGAGUGUGGAGCAGAGUCGGCGAGCGCAAGUCGAGCCCAUCAACCUGGACAGCUGUCUCCGUGCUUUCACCGGUGAGGAAGAGCUAGGGGAAGAUGAGAUGUACUACUGUUCCAAGUGUAAGACCCACUGCUUAGCAACAAAGAAGCUGGAUCUCUGGAGGCUUCCACCCUUCCUGAUUAUUCACCUUAAGUGAUUUCAGUUUGUAAAUGAUCAGUGGAUAAAAUCACAGAAAAUUGUCAAAUUUCCUCGGGAAAGUUUUGACCUGAGUGCUUUUUUGGUACCACGAGACCCGGCUCUCUGCCAGCAUCAACCACUCACACCCCAGGGGGAUGAGCUCUCCAAGCCCAGGAUUCUGGCAAGAGAGGUGAAGAAAGUGGAUGUGCAGAGUUUGGCUGGGGAAUAGGACAUGCUCCUGAGCAAAAGCCCAUCCUCACUCAGCGCUAACAUCAGCAGCAGCCCAAAAGAGAUGGUGCUUCGCCAUGUUUCCCAGGCUGGGCUCGAACUCCUGCACCCAAGUGAACCUCCUGCUUCGGCCUCCUAAACUGCUGGGAUUACAGGUUCUCCUUCUUCAUCAAGAAAAAGUGGAACCAGCUGUCCCUCCAGCAAAAACAGCAGCCCUAAUAGCAGCCCACGGACUUUGGGGAGGAGCAAAGGGAGGCUCUGGCUGCCCCAGAUUGGCAGCAAAAAUAAACUGUCAAGUAGUAAGAAGAACUUGGAUGCCAGCAAAGAGAAUGGGGCUGGGCAGAUCUGUGAGCUGGCUGACGCCUUGAGCCGAGGGCAUAUGCGGGGGGUGGGCAGCCAACCAGAGCUGGUCACUCCUCAGGACCAUGAGGUAGCUUUGGCCAAUGGAUUCCUUUAUGAGCAUGAAGCAUAUGGCAAUGGCUAUAGCAAUGGUCAGCUUGGAAACCACAGUGAAGAAGACAGCACUGAUGACCAAAGAGAAGACACUCAUAUUAAGCCUAUUUAUAUGCAAUUUCAUGCCAUUCAGGAAUUCUGAGUGGGGGCCAUUACGUCACUUAUGCCAAAAACCCAAACUGCAAGUGGUACUGCUACAAUGGCAGCAUCUGUGAGGAACGUCACCCUGAUGAAAUUGACACCAACUCUGCCUACAUUCUUUUCUAUGAGCAGCAGAGGAUAGACUACGCACAAUUUCUGCCAAAGAUUGAUGGCAAAAAGAUGGCAGACACAAGCAGUAUGGAUGAAGACUUUGAGUCUGAUUACAAAAAGUACUGUGUGUUACAGCAAAGCUACCACUCUGGCUGCUAGACAGCUUGGUGGGGAGGGAGAUGACUCCUUGUAGCUGAUACUUGGCAAAGAUGUCACUGAGAGGCAAGCUAAAUGUAGUUAUUUUAUCCUGUUAGAAUACAAAUUCUAAUUAAAAUAGUUAACUUUAAGAGUAGUAGUAAUUUUAUUUUGAAGUCUCAUGCAAGUUGUCUGAUAGAGAACUUUCAGGCAGAUCCCACCAUUAGCCUGUAAACAAAAGGUUUGGCACCAGCCACCUGGGACCAAAUAAGAAUUCAAUUGUGCUUGUCCAGAUAUGAACAAAUAUGUAGUGAGUAUAGAGUUUAUCAAUAAUCAUAACAAAUAUUAAAGAUUUCCUUGGAGUCAAAGUAAAAAACAAAAAAUUAUAAUGUUGUCUAGGGAUGACAUGAUAUGCUACCUCCUUUUUCCUGAAGUUUUAUUCCAUUCUGUUGACAAGAUGGAGAAAGCAAGAUCAUGAAGGUGUGCAAAUGAUUCUUACGGCAUGGGCGAGGAUUUUUCAAUUUAUUUUUUAAAGUUUCCAUACCCUUUCUUUGUCUUUCUUGCUUUUUGUUUUUGCCUUUGUGUUUAUGUUUGAGAUACAACCAGUCAUUGGUGGCAGGGGCAUAGAGUGGUCAGUCUGAAAGGGAGGCUCUCUUAAGAGCUAUGUGCCUUCCACCCAGAGGGAGACCCAGUAGAAAGAAAAACAUCCUGGGAAAUCCAGCUACCAUGGCCCUCCCAGUGGAGGCAUCUUACAUUUAGGAUACUUCAAGUAUCCUCAGAAAUGUAUUCUGCACCCCCGGCCCCGCCCAUGCUGAGGGAAGGGGAGCAGUUGCCAAUAUUUGCACCAUCUUCACAUGCACAUGUUGCAACAAGAGCUUCUGGGAAGGUAAGCAGCAUCGGAGCUAGAUCACGUUUCACAAUUAGUGGUUGUUCUUUUCCGUGUUUAUUUUGCACUUUAAAAAAGAGAGAACGCAUGCAAAUGAACUUGCUUGUGUGUAUUUGAUGGCUCUAAGGGCUAUAAAUUACAAACAAAACACAUCCCAGACAUUAGGAGUUCAUAAGUAUAUUUAAUGAAAUUGGUGGUUUUAGGAAGUCAACUUUAGUUUUGCUUUGUUUGCAUGUCCACUAAUUUUUUUAUUUUGAUAUUAGUCUUUUUUAAAAAAUUUUACAGUAGUCAUUGAAAGUUAUGUUUCUUUGUUUACUUCAUUUUUUCCUCUAAUUAUUCAAGACUGGCACAAAAGUAUAAAUAUUAUUUAUUUCAGGUAGAAUUUUUUUCGUGUAGUUUUUUAAUAUAUACUUGAAGGAAAUGUUUCACCUUAUUUUUGGUCUUUGUUUAUUCAUUUAGACCCUGCAAGUUGAUUCUCAUUAAUUGUCAGAUUCCACUACACUUUCUUCCUCAUAGGUAGUAAUUACCAGUGUAACUAAGCAUUUGUGUUCUGAUAUCUGAGGCCAGUAACUAUUAAUGUCUAGUUCUCAGAGCAUUUGGAAAGGUUAUCUUAAAUGGCUACCUAAAUUGAAAUCCUUUUCAGAAAAAAUAUAAUUGCAAAUAGGUAGGAGUGGCCUAAAUUAUCUAAUGUAAUAAAGUCAGACAAAAUGCAUACUUUAUAGUUUCAAGAUUUUCAGUACAUAAAAUCUGUCCUUUCCUACCUGGACAUGUCCCAUUAAAAAGUGGGAGAUUUUAAAUAAUUUCUUUACAGAUGUUUUAUUUAAGCAGGUAGCACAAUCUACUAAUGUUGUUUGAUCUGUGUUUGUUAUACUGGUUGUAAUUAAUUUUUUUAAUUCAUGAACUAGCGGAAAAUUUAUUAAAUUAACUAUUAACCACAUUCACCUUGUAAAUGACUGUAUAAAACUUGUUGACAAUGCACUGACUUUAGAAAGAUGUUAAUGUGCAUAAAUAGAGUGUAAAUAAAAUAGUGUUGAUGUACUGAAAUAUGAACUGUAUAAAAAGUAUUGGUAAUUGUAUAUGGGGUGUACCUAUUUAUCUGUAACUAUUAUCCAAACAAAUUAAAUACUGUGGAUGCCUCUA